Xiphophorus hellerii (green swordtail) is the source of this 4767-nucleotide long non-coding RNA. RefSeq lists it as uncharacterized. The transcript is spliced from 3 exons. The record is from RefSeq and is a predicted model, not a curated record. NCBI's taxonomy places the organism in Eukaryota, Metazoa, Chordata, Actinopteri, Cyprinodontiformes, Poeciliidae.
AAAAUCUGACAAAUAGGAAUAAAUAGCUGCUCAGUUAAAAUCUGAAUAAAUAGGAAUAAAUACUUGCCCAUGUUAAAAUCUGACAUAAAUAAGAAUAAAUAGCGGAUUAAAAGUCUGAACAGAGAAUAACGUCGCUGCCCCUUUAAGGAACCAGCGUCACAGACGCGACGCCUGGGUGACGCUGCGGUGCACAAACCAGAGGGAGAGAGCAGAGGAGGAAUCGGAGGAAAAGAGCAGUUGAUUGAUUAACGGAAAAAAAAAAAGUUAAUAUUAUAGUUAAGAAGACAUAAUUUACCUGGUCGGAAACUGACUGGGAUUUUAUGAGAACUGAGUUACAUCGGUUUUGGUCAGGUUUUUUGUUCGGUUGGAAGCUCGGUCGGAGCGAAGAUUGGUCUGCCGUGUGCGACGUCCACAUUCACAGACGGGAUUCAAGAUGGCGAGCCAGACCUAGACCUUCAAUUCAUCUUUUCCAUCAUAUCAGGGAAGGACUCUCCUGCGUAUGAUAAUUCGCUGCCGGAGCGGUAGGAACUUCAGGAACUGGUUCAAACCGAACUGAACAGGAUUAAGAACUGAUUUAAGAACUGGUGAAAUUAUCAUUAUUUUUUUGGACUGAAUCAAAACCGAAGCUUUUCAUUGAACUGAGAACCUGAAUUCACAUUUGGACUUGAACUUGAGUUUAAAGUGGCAUACUUGGCUUUUCAUAUGUUAUGUCUCUGAAUGUGAAUUGAAUAAUUGUGGUCCACUUUGAUUUGUUUGAAGGUAUUUCCUUACCUGUGAAAGGAAAGAAAAGCGAGUUAACUCAGAGAAAAAAUAGGAAUCCUAAAAUAGGUGCAACCUAAGAAAAGGAGACUGGUCUAACUAACUUAAAUUAGUUUGACUAAAAUAACCUAGGAAAAAGAGACUGGUCUAACUAAAUUAGAUUAGUUUUACUGAAAUAAGCUAGGUGAACUAGUGAGUAAAAAGAAGUGAUACAUUCUUCUUUUUCUUCUUUUUUUAGGGGGGUUUUGUGUAUUGUGUUUCAUGUGUGUUUUGCAUUCAGUAAAUUGCCGGCUUUUUGCAUUUAAAGCAGCGGUCUCUGGUGUUGUUAUUCUUGCUUCCCCACUCCUUAGAGCCUAGAACUGGUCCAGUAGCGCAGUUAGCCGUGUGAUACCGGUGCUACAUAUGUCCUGAUUAACAGCAUAAUAAAUGUAACAAACCAACAGAUGAUUUGACCUUCUACUCAUUUAAAAGUUAAUAUUUUUUGUUUUGUUGGUUUAAAAAGCAGCAAAUUUCCUGGAAGUCACUUUGAAACUCCAACCCAGCAUUAGAGGUCUGCAAUCCAACUUUCCUUUUCAAAUCACAACCAAAAAUCAAAUUAUGAAGAAGUCAGAAAGUGUUUUAUUGUUUUUUAUAGUUUCAUACCGAGAACAAUAAAUGAAAAAAUGACCAUCGGACAGAAAAAGACAUUUAUUAAUCAGACUGGAUGCGGUUUGGUGAAUUUAUAUCCAGAUUUCCAGUUUAUUUUGCAGAAACUUCCUGUAAACAUGCGACAGUCGGGAACAUCAGAUCCGAAUCUGAUUCAUUUCCACAGAAAUAAAUCAGAUAUUUUUGCAGGGAGAAAAAAUGGAAAGUAGGAAAACAGUUGGAUUUGGGCAGAGCCGUAAAGUAAAAGAUAAAAGUACUACGUUAGAUUUUAGUUAAAUAUUUAUCUUUCUGAGGACUUUCUACUUUUACUUCCUACUUUUAAGAUAAAUCUGUAUUUUUACCAAUUACAUUUUCACAUAUGGCUAAAUGAGAGUUGGUAAGAAUAAAAACUGGAACGUAUCAGUACUUUGUAAAAUCUCUAUUCAUGUUGUCAGCAAAGAUUAAAAUGUAUUUUUUAUACCUAGAACUUUUUACGUAUUUUAUUGAAAGUCUUUGAGUUAAACAGUCCAACCUGUUUCACUUUGACUAGAAUAUAAAAGUUUUUAUAAAAGUUUCUGUAGGUAACUGCAGCUGUUCCUGAUCAUUUGUUUUUCAGAGAUGCAUGUUGCACCAUUUCAUUUUGAACACGUUCAGUUUGACCAAUCAUGAGGCUUCAUUUGAAACUAACUGGCCUUAUCUAUGAAUAACUUUCAUAAAACAAAAAGGUGGCAGCUGAAACAGACUUUAAAUCUGUUCAUGUUUUCACCUUCAAUCAGCCGACUUUGACCAGCUUUAGGUUAAAUUAUUCUGCAGGAUUCAGUCACAUGCAACCAUAUUAUGUGUAGAAAAGUGAGACCUGGCAGAGCUGCAUCAGCGUGAGAAUGCUGGUCAGAACAGGAGCAGACGUUUUGGUCCACCGCCGGGCAGCAGAACGGGUACGGCGCCAUAUUGUCUCCUGAAUGCCAUGAUUUCAGCUCCACCUUCACAGAGCUGCUCUUCAUCCUCACCUGCUCUGUGCUGCUCCCCAUUUAAACAGCUGAUCGUCACCAGCUCAGUGACAAAUCGUCUGGUGCUCCUGUCACAGCCUUCAAGCCCCGAUUCAUGUCCAAGGAGUUUCUGGUUUUCUGAUCCUGCCUGUGUUUGACCACUGCUUUUGUCUAGUCCCUGCUGCCAUCAGAGGAGUUUCUGACCUCCUGUUGCUGAACCCUGCCUGCCUCCUGUCUACUGGAUGUUGGAUUUUCCUUGCCUGGGACUCUCCUGUGCCCGACCCUGGACCGUUUUGCCUCUCUGGCUGGUGGAUAUUCUGAGACUCCAAACCCUCCAAACCCAGGCUGGAUUCUCGGCCGUUGUGGAUCCCGGUUCUUGACGUCGACUCGCUGCUGUUCUCCAGCUGACGGAGCGUCAUGCAGACCGACACCGACAGGGAGUUACUGUCCAAAACCAGGCGGGGAACACGGUGGCUGCCCUCACCCCGACAAGCUGGGGUUAGGAGCUCACAUCGCCCCUGACUCCACGUGUCCAGUGGUUUCUAUGGAGAGCUUGACUGCAGCGGCUCCGUGUCUGGUUUAACAGGCGGCUCCGGCCUGCCAAGAAAAACGUCUGGAGCUUAGUAAACAGCAGACACGUGCUGCAGGAGGCUGGCUGCUGCCUGAAACGUGCAGCUUCUGCAGGUGACUCCUGAUUAGUUCAAACUGUUAGUCUCAUUUUAAUUUUUGCAGAAGUAAGGGUUUUGUUGAUAUGCAGGUGUUGGAGACUUCCUCUUAAAUCCACGCAGGUUUAACAAGUCAAAAGUCCUGGCUGUGAUUCAGCUGCAGGGUCUGUUAAAGAACAAAAUGUUAUCUUUGGCUCAGUGGGUUUUCUUAGACCCAUGCAACGGCUCCACUGCUGGAGAACAGAAUAAAAUGAAUAUAAAACAUUUAAAAAUCCUCUUUUUCCAAAUAUUCCACCCAGUUUCACCAUAAAGUCUGUUUAUUUUCCCACAAUCAGCGGUGUUUACUUGUUCCCCCAGAAUCCCUGACAGAGCCAUGACCCAGUUUCUCCCGCCAGGUUUCGAUGUUUCUUGUGUUUCCUGUCUGAGUCGGACUGUGACCGAAGCCACCUGAAUGUGGGUCAGUGAAAUCUGUUCAACUGCGGCUCAAUGCCACACAAUGCACAACCAAACCUGCAGCAGACACGUUGCAACAUCACAAGUGCAAAAAAACUGCUAGUCGACAACGACCAGCAUUGGUUUUAGCUGACAAGAUGUCAGUAUAACCCAGUAAACCAUAAAUGAACGUCUGAUAUAUAAAAUAAAAAGGAACUCAGUGCUUUGCUACUAAUUAUCAACACUAAGACAACUAGAUAACAAGGUCAGGAAAAUGUUUUAAUUAAAAAUAGAGAGGGAAAAUAGGUCAGUUAUGCUAGCUUGACUUUGACAACCUUAACAUGUAGGUGUGCUGCAGAAUUCGCUCUUUCAGAACCAACAAAAUGGCGACGUACACACCAACCCUGACAGAUCAUCAGCAGCAAUAGCAGCAGUAGCUAAUAGAAGCGGUAGCUAAUAGCAAUGGUAGCUAAUAGCAACACUAGCUAAUAGCAGCAGUAGACAAGAUGUCAGUAUAACCCAGUAAACCAUAAAUGAACGUCUGAUAUACGUUAAUUUAUGGUAUAUCAGACGUUAUAUAGCAAUGGUAGCUAAUAGCAACACUAGCUAAUAGCGGCAGUAGCUAAUAGCAGCACUAGCUAAUAGCAAUGGUAGCUAAUCUACCGCAGUGAUCACUUAUUAAUAAUCGUAAAAUAAACGUCAAGCCUGAAAACAUAAAACUGUAACGAACUGAAUGUUCUGAUCUUUGUGUGGGAAAUGUUUGCGUAAUUUUGGUGUUCAGUCCAGACACAUUAUUGGGGCUGCUGUCAGUCGGUUGCUACGGCAACGGGUCUGUGUGUAGCGUAGCCGACACAGAGAGCGAGAAAAGGGCAGAACACGAGAGGUUUUGAGUUAUUCUCGAUUCUUCUCCACGGCUGCAGGUUUCAGCCAGAGCUGUCCGGGUGCUGCCACCUGUCGCCCCGACUCAGCUGGAAAGAAUCAGAGGUUUCACACUUCAGCUGGUUUCAUUUGGUUGGAAAUGUGCACUUAGCUACAGCUGCCACUUCCGCGAGUCCAACCUGAGGAGACACAGACGACGGUAAUGGAAGAACAGCAACGACAAGCGUUUCUGCUAAAAACGUGGGUUUUUUAAACUGAUGUGAUCACUCCGGGUUUGUCUGAGGAUCGAAAUAACACCACUGCCUCCGUCCAGGAAGGCAGGUUUCAACUCGGUUAAUUCAGUUGUUAUAGAAAGAGCCUUGCCUACUUUCAAGUAAUUGAUUUCUGUUUGACAGACAGGUUGCAGUCUUGCCAAAGAAAAG